UCCGGUUUGUCACCGGCAGUCUCGCAUGAGUCCCCAACUAAAUGCUGGCAACAUGCGACGGGGGUUGCGCUCGUUGCGGGACUUAACCCAACAUCUCACGACACGAGCUGACGACAGCCAUGCAGCACCUGUGUCCCUGUCCCCGAAGGGAAAACCGGAUCUCUCCGGCGGUCAGGGCAUGUCAAAAGGUGGUAAGGUUUUUCGCGUUGCAUCGAAUUAAACCACAUCAUCCACCGCUUGUGCGGGUCCCCGUCAAUUCCUUGGAGUUUCAACCUUGCGGCCGUACUCCCCAGGCGGUCAAUUUCACGCGUUAGCUUCGUUACUGAGUCAGUGAAGACCCAACAACCAGUUGACAUCGUUUAGGGCGUGGACUAC
Molecule: unclassified non-coding RNA, 375 nt
Filed under: uncultured Gammaproteobacteria bacterium
Lineage: Bacteria; Pseudomonadati; Pseudomonadota; Gammaproteobacteria
Description: contains 16S-23S intergenic spacer region
Source: RNAcentral